CAGUCGCCGCGGUAAUACAGAGGAUUUAAGCGUUAUCCGGAAUGGUUGGGCGUAAAGCGCACGUAGGCGGAUUUUUAAGUCAGGGGUGAAAUCCCGAGGCUCAACCUCGGAACUGCCUUUGAUACUGGGGAUCUUGAGUUCGGAAGAGGUUGGUGGAACAGCUAGUGUAGAGGUGAAAUUCGUAGAUAUUAGCUAGAACACCAGUGGCGAAGGCGGCCAACUGGUCCGACACUGACGCUGAGGUGCGAAAGCGUGGGGAGCAAACAGGAUUAGAUACCCCAGUAGUCCCUGUCUCUUAUAC
RNAcentral lists this ribosomal RNA (301 nucleotides) under uncultured bacterium. RNAcentral describes it as "partial 16S ribosomal RNA". It matches the Rfam family "Bacterial small subunit ribosomal RNA", at positions 509 to 807 of the family's 1533-position model. The record is from RNAcentral.